Long non-coding RNA from Bicyclus anynana (squinting bush brown), 423 nucleotides. RefSeq lists it as uncharacterized. The record is from RefSeq and is a predicted model, not a curated record. Lineage: Eukaryota; Metazoa; Arthropoda; Insecta; Lepidoptera; Nymphalidae. The transcript is spliced from 2 exons.
UUAUUUUAAUAUUCAUCAAGAUAACAUUAUAUCUAUUGUACUUAAUACCCAAAAACAUGCAAAAACUUACGUGUCUAAUUUUGUUUGUGUUAGCUGUAAUGGCUCAAGCGAAAAAACCCCAAUACGAUCUGGCAAAUGGUUCAGCUCUGUUUGAGAAGUACAUCAAAGACUACAACAAGGAAUACAAGGACGAAGCCGACAAAGAAGUUCACUACCAAGAGUUUCUUAAAUCUCUGAAGGCCAUAAAUGAUUCCAAUGCGGCAGACACUGACGCGACCUUCGAUAUUAAUGAAUUCUCUGACUACACUCCUGAGCAGAGGAAGAAUUUGUUCGGAGCCAGAAUCUUCUAAAGGAAAAUGGUGUGAGGAAUCAAGUCGACGAAAUGAUAACUUCACACAAUAAUAAAUUAUUAUUAGUAUUUUA